RNAcentral lists this ribosomal RNA (497 nucleotides) under uncultured bacterium. RNAcentral's name for it is "partial 16S ribosomal RNA". It matches the Rfam family "Bacterial small subunit ribosomal RNA", at positions 28 to 507 of the family's 1533-position model. The record is from RNAcentral.
GAUGAACGCUGGCGGCGUGCCUAAUACAUGCAAGUCGAGCGAACAGAUGAGGAGCUUGCUCCUCUGACGUUAGCGGCGGACGGGUGAGUAACACGUGGAUAACCUACCUAUAAGACUGGGAUAACUUCGGGAAACCGGAGCUAAUACCGGAUAAUAUAUUGAACCGCAUGGUUCAAUAGUGAAAGACGGUUUUGCUGUCACUUAUAGAUGGAUCCGCGCCGCAUUAGCUAGUUGGUAAGGUAACGGCUUACCAAGGCAACGAUGCGUAGCCGACCUGAGAGGGUGAUCGGCCACACUGGAACUGAGACACGGUCCAGACUCCUACGGGAGGCAGCAGUAGGGAAUCUUCCGCAAUGGGCUAAAGCCUGACGGAGCAACGCCGCGUGAGUGAUGAAGGUCUUCGGAUCGUAAAACUCUGUUAUUAGGGAAGAACAAAUGUGUAAGUAACUAUGCACGUCUUGACGGUACCUAAUCAGAAAGCCACGGCUAACUACGUA